UGGGGAAUUUUGGACAAUGGGCGAAAGCCUGAUCCAGCAAUGCCGCGUGCAGGAUGAAGGCCUUCGGGUUGUAAACUGCUUUUGUACGGAACGAAAAGCUUCGGGAUAAUACCCCGGGGCCAUGACGGUACCGUAAGAAUAAGCACCGGCUAACUACGUGCCAGCAGCCGCGGUAAUACGUAGGGUGCAAGCGUUAAUCGGAAUUACUGGGCGUAAAGCGUGCGCAGGCGGUUAUAUAAGACAGAUGUGAAAUCCCCGGGCUCAACCUGGGAACUGCAUUUGUGACUGUAUAGCUAGAGUACGGCAGAGGGGGAUGGAAUUCCGCGUGUAGCAGUGAAAUGCGUAGAUAUGCGGAGGAACACCGAUGGCGAAGGCAAUCCCCUGGGCCUGUACUGACGCUCAUGCACGAAAGCGUGGGGAGCAAACA
This 427-nucleotide ribosomal RNA is filed under the name uncultured Acidovorax sp. RNAcentral's name for it is "partial 16S ribosomal RNA". It matches the Rfam family "Bacterial small subunit ribosomal RNA", at positions 355 to 774 of the family's 1533-position model. The record is from RNAcentral. Lineage: Bacteria; Pseudomonadati; Pseudomonadota; Betaproteobacteria; Burkholderiales; Comamonadaceae.